Long non-coding RNA from Microplitis mediator, 936 nucleotides. RefSeq lists it as uncharacterized. The transcript is spliced from 3 exons. NCBI's taxonomy places the organism in Eukaryota, Metazoa, Arthropoda, Insecta, Hymenoptera, Braconidae. The record is from RefSeq and is a predicted model, not a curated record.
AAAACCAAGCACGCGCAUGAUGCGUAAUAUUUAUUUGAUUUAUAUUGGGUAGUUAAUGAUGACGUAGUUUGUUGCAUGACUAGUGUAAACCUGCCUUGCACUAUACGUAAUAUAAGUGCAUGCGCAUUAGACAUUUUAAAUUUUAAGCUCGUACUUGUUCGAUCCACCAAGGUAAAGUUCUAAGAGAUUGUAUAUAAAGAUAACAACAAGAGAUUUCGUCAACAUGAAUAGAAGUGCUGCCUCUAUGUUUUUACAAUACAAGCUACAAAAAUUACGAUAGUUGGAUUGUAAAUUUUCUGAAAUGGUAUAGUAUAUGCCAUCUGAAGCGUUUACGUAUGAAAGACAAGUGUUGUCACAAACCAUGAUGUGAUGCUUGUAUGAGUGUAUAUAUAUAUGUAUAUAAAUACAAAUGAUGACAUCUACUUUGUCUGUAUUAUUUGUGGUUCAACUAUAUAUAUUUAUAAAUCAGUUCAUCUUUAUCGACAGUGUAGUGCAGAAAUAGAGGUUAUUAUUCAUGACGUUUUUCGGACAAUUGUAAAUAAGAAAUUUAAAAUAAAAACUGUACUUUCGUCAUUACAAACCUACAUAGAUUGUGGAAUAUAACAAUUUGGUGGUGAUAAUCUUCAUUUGUCGACAAUGAAUAAUUUUACCCGGCUUUGCGAGAGGUAAAACAUUUCAAUAACCUCAAAUUAUGGACAUUCAACAUUUCUUUAUGAUACUGAAGUUAGCAGACGCCUAAUAAUUUUUGGAUUUUUUUAAAAAUGAUAAAUUAUAGAAAAAAAGUAUUCGAAAAAAUUGCACCUAUGGUUUUUUUAAUUUUCUACAUGUGCGUAUUUUGAAUACAAAUAAAUGAGUUAUUUAUUCAUAAAUUUUAUAUAUACCAAAAAAAUAUGUUUGAAAAAAUAUUAAAUAAAUGUUUUAUUAUUACUACUUCAA